This 424-nucleotide ribosomal RNA is filed under the name uncultured cyanobacterium. RNAcentral's name for it is "partial 16S ribosomal RNA". It matches the Rfam family "Bacterial small subunit ribosomal RNA", at positions 356 to 795 of the family's 1533-position model. Lineage: Bacteria; Bacillati; Cyanobacteriota. The record is from RNAcentral.
GGGGAAGUUUCCGCAAUGGGCGAAAGCCUGACGGAGCAACGCCGCGUGAGGGAUGAAGGCCUCUGGGCUGUAAACCUCUUUUCUCAAGGAAGAAGAUCUGACGGUACUUNNNNNNUAAGCCACGGCUAAUUCCGUGCCAGCAGCCGCGGUAAUACGGGAGUGGCAAACGUUAUCCGGAAUUAUUGGGCGGGGAGCGUCCGCAGGCGGUCUUGUAAGUCUGUCGUUAAAGCGUGGAGCUUAACUCCAUUUCAGCGAUGGAAACUACUAAGCUGGAGUACGGUAGGGGCAGAGGGNNNNNNCGGUGGAGCGGUGAAAUGCGUAGAGAUCGGAAAGAACACCAAGGGCGAAGGCACUCUGCUGGGCCGACACUGACACUGAGAGACGAAAGCUAGGGGAGCAAAUGGGAUUAGAUACCCCAGUAGUC